This 22-nucleotide microRNA is filed under the name Medicago truncatula (barrel medic). RNAcentral's name for it is "mtr-miR5222". Lineage: Eukaryota; Viridiplantae; Streptophyta; Magnoliopsida; Fabales; Fabaceae. The record is from miRBase by way of RNAcentral.
UUACAGGAGAAGAAUGUAUGGC